UGGGGAAUUUUGGACAAUGGGCGAAAGCCUGACCCAGCAAUGCCGCGUGUGUGAAGAAGGCCUUCGGGUUGUAAAGCACUUUUGUCCGGAAAGAAAUCCUUGGCUCUAAUACAGUCGGGGGAUGACGGUACCGGAAGAAUAAGCACCGGCUAACUACGUGCCAGCAGCCGCGGUAAUACGUAGGGUGCAAGCGUUAAUCGGAAUUACUGGGCGUAAAGCGUGCGCAGGCGGUUUGCUAAGACCGAUGUGAAAUCCCCGGGCUCAACCUGGGAACUGCAUUGGUGACUGGCAGGCUAGAGUAUGGCAGAGGGGGGUAGAAUUCCACGUGUAGCAGUGAAAUGCGUAGAGAUGUGGAGGAAUACCGAUGGCGAAGGCAGCCCCCUGGGCCAAUACUGACGCUCAUGCACGAAAGCGUGGGGAGCAAACAGGAUUAGAUACCCUGGUAGUCCACGCCCUAAACGAUGUCAACUAGUUGUUGGGGAUUCAUUUCCUUAGUAACGUAGCUAACGCGUGAAGUUGACCGCCUGGGGAGUACGGUCGCAAGAUUAAAACUCAAAGGAAUUGACGGGGUCAUAGCUGUUUCU
This 584-nucleotide ribosomal RNA is filed under the name uncultured bacterium. RNAcentral's name for it is "partial 16S ribosomal RNA". It matches the Rfam family "Bacterial small subunit ribosomal RNA", at positions 355 to 937 of the family's 1533-position model. The record is from RNAcentral.